Molecule: ribosomal RNA, 1243 nt
Filed under: metagenome
Description: bacterial LSU rRNA
Rfam family: Bacterial large subunit ribosomal RNA
Source: RNAcentral
UGAAUACGAGACGCUAAGGCGUCGAAGUAGUGUAUGUCAUACUUCCAAGAAAAGCUUGCACUGUCAUAGAUAAAAAACGCCUGUACCAUAACCGACACAGGUGGGUAGGUAGAGUAUACUAAGGGGCGCGAGAUAACUCUCUCUAAGGAACUCGGCAAAAUAACUCCGUAACUUCGGGAGAAGGAGUGCCUUAUUCGUAAGGUUGCAAUAACAAGAUCCAAGCAACUGUUUAUCAAAAACACAGGUCUCCGCUAAGUCGUAAGACGAUGUAUGGGGGCUGACGCCUGCCCAGUGCCAGAAGGUUAAAGAAGUUGGUUAGCAAUUGCGAAGCUGAUAACUGAAGCCCUGGUGAACGGCGGCCGUAACAAUAACGGUCCUAAGGUAGCGAAAUUCCUUGUCGGGUAAGUUCCGACCCGCACGAAAGGCGUAAUGAUUUGGAUACUGUCUCGGAGAGGGGCUCGGUGAAAUAGACCUGUCUGUGAAGAUGCGGACUACCUGCACCAGGACAGAAAGACCCUAUGAAGCUUUACUGUAACUUGAAAUUGAAAUUGGACUUUAUUCGCGCAGUAUAGGUGGGAGGCGUUGAUUAUAAUCUUGUGGGAUUAUUGGAGCCAUCAGUGAGAUACCACUCUUGUAAUGUUAGAUUUCUAACUUUGAAUCAUUAUCUGGUCAAAGAACAGUUUCAGGCGGGCAGUUUGACUGGGGCGGUCGCCUCCUAAACGGUAACGGAGGCGUACAAAGGUUUCCUCUGAACGGUUAGAAAUCGUAUCUAGAGUGUAAAGGCAUAAGGAAGCUUGACUGUGAGACCUACAAGUCGAGCAGGGACGAAAGUCGGUCUUAGUGAUCUGACGGUACUGAGUGGAAAGGCCGUCACUCAACGGAUAAAAGUUACUCUAAGGAUAACAGGCUGAUCUCCCCCAAGAGUUCACAUCGACGGGGGGGUUUGGCACCUCGAUGUCGGCUCAUCGCAUCCUGGGGCGGUAGUACGUCCCAAGGGUUGGGCUGUUCGCCCAUGAAAGCGGUACGCGAGCUGGGUUCAGAACGUCGUGAGACAGUUCGGUCCAUAUCCGGUGUAGGCGUUAGAAUAUUGAGAGGAGCCUUCUUUAGUACGAGAGGACCGAGAAGGACAUACCUCUGGUGUACCAGUUAUCGUGCCAACGGUAAACGCUGGGUAGCUAUGUAUGGAGUGGAUAACCGCUGAAAGCAUCUAAGUGGGAAGCCCACCUCAAGAUAAGUAUUCUCC